CCUACGGGAGGCAGCAGUGAGGAAUAUUGGUCAAUGGACGAGAGUCUGAACCAGCCAAGUAGCGUGAAGGAUGACUGCCCUAUGGGUUGUAAACUUCUUUUAUAUGGGAAUAAAAUGUUCCACGUGUGGGAGUUUGUAUGUACCAUAUGAAUAAGGAUCGGCUAACUCCGUGCCAGCAGCCGCGGUAAUACGGAGGAUCCGAGCGUUAUCCGGAUUUAUUGGGUUUAAAGGGAGCGCAGGUGGAUUGUUAAGUCAGUUGUGAAAGUUUGCGGCUCAACCGUAAAAUUGCAGUUGAAACUGGCAGUCUUGAGUACAGGAGAGGUGGGCGGAAUGCGCGGUGUAGCGGUGAAAUGCUUAGAUAUCGCGAAGAACUCCGAUUGCGAAGGCAGCUCACUGGACUGCAACUGACACUGAGGCUCGAAAGUGUGGGUAUCAAACAGGAUUAGAUACCCGAGUAGUC
RNAcentral lists this ribosomal RNA (460 nucleotides) under uncultured bacterium. RNAcentral's name for it is "partial 16S ribosomal RNA". It matches the Rfam family "Bacterial small subunit ribosomal RNA", at positions 338 to 795 of the family's 1533-position model. The record is from RNAcentral.